Non-coding RNA from Poecilia reticulata (guppy), 2290 nucleotides. NCBI's taxonomy places the organism in Eukaryota, Metazoa, Chordata, Actinopteri, Cyprinodontiformes, Poeciliidae. The record is from RefSeq and is a predicted model, not a curated record.
UAAUUAGGACCUCCUUAUUCGUUAACGUUUGCUGCUGGGUUUAAGAGUCAGUAAAAGGUCGGUUCGCCUUUUUUGAUUUUAUUUGGUUACAGUUGUGUUAGUUUUGUGUCACCACGGAAACGCCUGCAGACUGGCUUUAUCAUAAAUGUAAACAAGUGAACUGUAAGUAUCAGAGAAAAGCUGCUGGAUCGUUUCGGUUUGGAUUCCUUCGUUUUAAAUGCUUUUUGAUCAUUGAGCCCUUUUCGCACUGCAGGGUCCGGCACGCUUCGGUCCGAUUCCACCCGUACUGCAACCCUGUUGUGUUAGCAUAUAAAUGAGGGCGGCAUCGAAGCUGUACCUGACGUCAUUAUUUUUUAAACUAAACAAUGAUUUCGAUGUAGCGGCAGAAGUCCUUUCCUCAAAGAGGCGCCGGAAAACUUUUUCUUUCCUCGUUGACCGAUCUAGUUCAUUCUGUACUCGUUCAUCAGAGUAAGCGGAGGAGAAAAAUGACCUCAUCAUGCGGCCAGGAUACCUACAAAAGAGACAGAAGAGGUUCCUUUGACCUGAACCUAAACCUAAACAGAGGAUAGAUGAGAUAUAUGACUUCUUAAAAUCAUGGGAUGCUUCAGAGGAAGUCAUACAACGACUGCAAAAGGAUAAGAUUGACUCAUUCAAGUGGUGCUUCCUGAUGGAAGGCGAGAAAAGGCUGUUGAUGAUGGAGGAGUUUUGAGAGAUGUCCUCUCUGAGUUUUGGCAGGACUUUUAUGAACAGUGCACAAUGGGCAAUAACUUUAAGGUGUCCUACUUGCGUCAUAAUUUUGGACAGCAACAAUGGGAAAGCAUUGGCCGAAUUAUUGCCUUUGGUUGGCAAAAACAGAAGUACCUGCCUAUAAAACUUGUCCCAGUAAUACUGGAACAAGCAGUACUUGGUUCUAUAAAGAGUCCUCUUAUUGAUAGCUUCCUAAGGUAUGUUACAGAGUACGAUCGAAUGGUGUUUGAAUCUUGCCUUUCAGAUUUUCAGACUGUUGACAGAGAAGAGCUUCUGGAAAUCAUGGAUAUCCAUAACUGUCAAAGAGUACCAACAGCUGAUAACAUUGAGCUACUACUUGAGGAGCUUGCCCACCAAAAGCUCAUUCAGGAACCUGCCUUUGUUAUUGAGCAGUGUAGCACUGUCCUUUCCCCGCUGARGUCAGAGAUGGAAAGUAUUACAGCUGCAUAUGAAAAUCUCCAGCCAACAUUAAGAAAGGUUAUACAGUCAAUUUUAUACCCUGCAGUCAUGAAUGCACAGCAGAAAAACAUCAGCAAAUAUUUAAGUUCUUAUCUCAGAGAAUCAGACUCACAACACCUGUCACUUUUUCUUCGGUUCUGCACAGGAUCUGAUUUGUUUCUUCAAAAAACUAUCAGGGUUAGCGUCACUCAACUUCAAGGUAUUCAGAGAUGGCCAGUUGCCCACACAUGCGAUUGCUACCUAGAGUUGCCAGUUAAUUAUGGUAACUAUCCAGAGUUUCGACACAAAAUUAAUAAGGCCCUAGAAAGUAGUGCAUGGGUGAUGGAUAUAGUGUAACAGACUUCAGCUGAAGAACAUAUGAGUUUAAGGAAUCUUUUUGUAUUAAACUUUCAAAGUUUAGCAUUAUCUUAAAAACUGUUUUUUAGCUCAUCUUAACUCCAGAGUGUUUCUACUUUUUGCAAUUUAUUAUUCUCUGGAGUAUUUAUGAGACCUGCCGUGUCUUAGUAGGCACCCUCCUACUAGUGUUUAUGCUUUUUUUUUCUGUUAAAGUACUCCAACGUUAAAGCUUAAAGCAUAAAUUUGAGUAGGCAGUAAAAUGUAUUUUCUCAAUAUUUUGGGUUUAAUAAAUUUAAAGAUUUUGUAUUGUUACUAGAAUUCUUUUACUUUUAAUUAUUUUACUUGAGGCUGCAAAUGCUGGUUUAUUCCGCAAUUGAAUAUACAAUAUGGCCGCUCUUAGUUGCAGCUCUUAGUUGUAUAAAUAAUUUCUGAUGUUUUGUUUCUUAUAUUAGUCACAUCAUUUAAAUGUUCAGUGGAUGAAUAUGUUGCUACUCUGUUUGAAUGUAGUUCUGAAAGAAAUGGAGUAAAGUGUUUUAUUUACCCUUAUUCAUGAAAACUUUUCUUUUGUUUACUCAGCAUUUUAUUUAUAUCGCUGUUAUUAGUAACCAUAACCUUAAAAUAUUUUCAAUAACAGAUUGGUGCCAUUGCAGUAGCUCAAUAUUAGAUUUAACCAGAAAACAACUGAAAAAGAACACAUUUUUCUUUCUUUUUUUACACCUUGAAGCAUUGUCAUUAUCUUAAAUAAUUA